Molecule: ribosomal RNA, 406 nt
Filed under: uncultured bacterium
Lineage: Bacteria
Description: bacterial SSU rRNA
Rfam family: Bacterial small subunit ribosomal RNA
Source: RNAcentral
AACGAACGCUGGCGGCGUGCCUAACACAUGCAAGUCGAGCGAGAAAAGGGGGGCAACUCCCUGAGUACAGCGGCGCACGGGUGAGUAACACGUAGGUAAUCUACCCUCGAGCCCGGAAUAACCUACCGAAAGGUGGGCUAAUACCGGAUAUGACCACGGGAGUUUCGGCUCCUGCGGUGAAAGGUGGCCUCUGCUUGCAAGCUACUACUUGAGGAUGAGCCUGCGUGCCAUUAGCUAGUUGGUGGGGUAAUGGCCCACCAAGGCUAUGAUGGCUAGCUGGUCUGAGAGGAUGGCCAGCCACACUGGGACUGAAACACGGCCCAGACUCCUACGGGAGGCAGCAGUGGGGGAUAUUGCGCAAUGGGCGAAAGCCUGACGCAGCGACGCCGCGUGGGUGAUGAAGGCC